RNAcentral lists this ribosomal RNA (492 nucleotides) under uncultured bacterium. RNAcentral describes it as "partial 16S ribosomal RNA". It matches the Rfam family "Bacterial small subunit ribosomal RNA", at positions 29 to 507 of the family's 1533-position model. The record is from RNAcentral.
AGUGAACGCUGGCGGCAGGCUUAACACAUGCAAGUCGAACGGCAGCACCGUAAGUGUUUGCUCUUACCGGUUGCGAGUGGCGGACGUGUGAGGAAUAUAUCGGACCCUACUCUUUCGUGGGGGUUAACGUAGGGAAACCUACGCUAAUAUCGCAUAUGCUCUUCGGUUGAAAGCAUGGGAUCUUCGGACCUGGUGCGAAUGAACGAGCGGAUGUUGGACUAGCUAGUUGGCGGGGUAAAUGCCCACCAAGGCGGCGAUCCGUAGCUGGACUGAGUGGAUGGUCGGCCACACUGGAACUGGGACACGGUCCAGACUCCUACGGGAGGCAGCAGUGGGGAAUAUUAGACAGUGGGCGCAAGCCUGAUCCAGCCAUACCGCGUGGGUGAAGAAGGCCUUCGGGUUGUAAAGCCCUUUUGUUGGGAAAGAAAAGCAGCAGGUUAAUACCCCGCUGUUCUGACGGUACCCAAAGAAUAAGCACCGGCUAACUUCGUG